UAAUGGCCCACCAAGGYUAMGAUGGUUAGYUGKUCUGAGAGGAUGAUCAGCCACACUGGAACUGAGACACGGUCCAGACUCCUACGGGAGGCAGCAGUGGGGAAUUUUGYGCAAUGGGGGAAACCCUGAYGCAGCAACKCCGCGUGAGUGAUGAAGGCUUUCGGGUCGUAAAGCUCUGUCAGAGGGGAAGAAAUGAGUCUGGCUAAUAUCCAGAUUUCUUGACGGUACCCUCAAAGGAAGCACCGGCUAAYUCCKUGCCAGCAGCCGCGGUAAUACAAGGGYGMMUUS
This 288-nucleotide ribosomal RNA is filed under the name uncultured Geobacteraceae bacterium. Its description in RNAcentral is "partial 16S ribosomal RNA". It matches the Rfam family "Bacterial small subunit ribosomal RNA", at positions 258 to 535 of the family's 1533-position model. The record is from RNAcentral. Lineage: Bacteria; Pseudomonadati; Thermodesulfobacteriota; Desulfuromonadia; Geobacterales; Geobacteraceae.